GUGAACGCUGGCGGUAGGCCUAACACAUGCAAGUCGAACGGCAGCACAGUAAGAGCUUGCUCUUACGGGUGGCGAGUGGCGGACGGGUGAGGAAUACAUCGGAAUCUACUUUUUCGUGGGGGAUAACGUAGGGAAACUUACGCUAAUACCGCAUACGACCUACGGGUGAAAGCAGGGGAUCUUCGGACCUUGCGCGAUUGAAUGAGCCGAUGUCGGAUUAGCUAGUUGGCGGGGUAAAGGCCCACCAAGGCGACGAUCCGUAGCUGGUCUGAGAGGAUGAUCAGCCACACUGGAACUGAGACACGGUCCAGACUCCUACGGGAGGCAGCAGUGGGGAAUAUUAGACAAUGGGCGCAAGCUUGCUCCAGCCAUACCGCGUGGGUGAAGAAGGCCUUCGGGUUGUAAAGCCCUUUUGUUGGGAAAGAAAAGCAGCAGGUUAAUACCCCGCUGUUCUGACGGUACCCAAAGAAUAAGCACCGGCUAACUUCGUG
RNAcentral lists this ribosomal RNA (491 nucleotides) under uncultured bacterium. RNAcentral describes it as "partial 16S ribosomal RNA". It matches the Rfam family "Bacterial small subunit ribosomal RNA", at positions 29 to 507 of the family's 1533-position model. The record is from RNAcentral.